Molecule: non-coding RNA, 167 nt
Filed under: unclassified sequences
Description: IS605-orfB-II RNA
Rfam family: IS605-orfB-II RNA
Source: Rfam by way of RNAcentral
CAUGAUGAAACAUAUAAUUACGUAUGUUUUGGAUUGUAUAGAAGGUAGUCGCAGUCGCCUCAAACCUAUUUGAUAUGAUUUUAAAUAAUCCGCUGUCAAAAGAAUUGGAAAAACAAAUUCUUUAGAAUUUGGAAAAGUUUAAAAAUUUUAAAUUUUUAACUAACUGU